CCCAAUACCUCUUAGGCAUCCUUCUGCCUCGCCGAACGCUGAUCAUCGCCAGCCGUUCACAACUCCUCACCGUGGCAUCAGUACUCCGCAUAUGCUCGAACCACCUCAGCCUCGUUUCUCGCAUCUUCUCAUCCAUUGGGGCUACCCCACCUUCUCUCAAAUAACUUCAUUCUUAAUUUUAUCUAAACUGGUGAGCCCGCGCAUCCAAAACAAUAACCAAAAUCUGAAAUUAAUAUAACGAAUGAUUUUAACAGAAAGAGUAUUAGAUGCAAAGGCAAGGAAAAGAGAAAAGAAAU
This 296-nucleotide long non-coding RNA is filed under the name Nicotiana benthamiana. Its description in RNAcentral is "long non-coding RNA (NBEN_LNC006819)". The record is from RNAcentral. Lineage: Eukaryota; Viridiplantae; Streptophyta; Magnoliopsida; Solanales; Solanaceae.